ACCCAGCUGACGAGUCCCAAACAGGAUGAAACGCGCUUCCAUGUAU
Molecule: non-coding RNA, 46 nt
Filed under: Schistosoma curassoni
Lineage: Eukaryota; Metazoa; Platyhelminthes; Trematoda; Strigeidida; Schistosomatidae
Source: RNAcentral